AGAUUGAACGCUGGCGGCGUGCCUAACACAUGCAAGUCGAGCGGUAACAGGUGUAGCAAUACAUGCUGACGAGCGGCGAACGGGUGAGUAAUGCUUUGGAAUCUUCCCAGUAGUGGGGAAUAACCAGUCGAAAGAUUGGCUAAUACCGCAUACGUCUGUAAAGGGAAAGCGGGGGCUCGUAAGACCUCGCGCUAUUGGAUGAGCCAAAGUCGGAUUAGCUAGUUGGUGGGUAACGGCCUACCAAGGCGACAAUCCGUAGCUGGUCUGAGAGGACGACCAGCCACACCGGAACUGAGACACGGUCCGGACUCCUACGGGAGGCAGCAGUGGGGAAUAUUGGACAAUGGGGGAAACCCUGAUCCAGCGACGCCGCGUGUGUGAAGAAGGCCUGCGGGUUGUAAAGCACUUUUAGUGGGGACAAAAAGGCUACGGAUUAAUACUCUGUGGUCUUGAUUUAACCCAAAGAAAAGCACCGGCUAACUCUGCGCCAGCAGCCGC
Molecule: ribosomal RNA, 498 nt
Filed under: uncultured bacterium
Lineage: Bacteria
Description: SSU rRNA
Rfam family: Bacterial small subunit ribosomal RNA
Source: RNAcentral